RNAcentral lists this ribosomal RNA (463 nucleotides) under uncultured bacterium. Its description in RNAcentral is "partial 16S ribosomal RNA". It matches the Rfam family "Bacterial small subunit ribosomal RNA", at positions 28 to 505 of the family's 1533-position model. The record is from RNAcentral.
GACGAACGCUGGCGGCGUGCUUAACACAUGCAAGUCGAACGGAAAGGCCCUGCUUGCCGGGUACUCGAGUGGCGAACGGGUGAGUAACACGUGGGUGAUCUGCCCUGCACUUCGGGAUAAGCCUGGGAAACUGGGUCUAAUACCGGAUAGGAGCCAUUUUUAGUGUGAUGGUUGGAAAGUUUUUUCGGUGUAGGAUGAGCUCGCGGCCUAUCAGCUUGUUGGUGGGGUAAUGGCCUACCAAGGCGGCGACGGGUAGCCGGCCUGGGAGGGUGGACGGCCACAUUGGGACAGGGGAAGCGCCCGGGCCCACUCGGGGGGGAGGGGGGGGGGAUUUUGCAAAAAGGGCCGAAGCCUUGAGGAAGGACGCCGGGUGGGGGAUGACGGCCUUCGGGUUGGAAACCCCUUUCGCUAGGGACGAAGCUUUUUGUGGGGGUACCAAGAAAAAAAGCCCCCGCUAAACACG